CCGCCGCGGUAAUACGUAGGGUGCGAGCGUUAAUCGGAAUUACUGGGCGUAAAGCGUGCGCAGGCGGUUGUGUAAGACAGGUGUGAAAUCCCCGGGCUUAACCUGGGAACUGCGCUUGUGACUGCACAGCUAGAGUAUGGCAGAGGGGGGUGGAAUUCCACGUGUAGCAGUGAAAUGCGUAGAGAUGUGGAGGAACACCGAUGGCGAAGGCAGCCCCCUGGGCCAAUACUGACGCUCAUGCACGAAAGCGUGGGGAGCAAACAGGAUUAGAUACCCCCGUAGUCCCUGUCUCUUAUACACA
Molecule: ribosomal RNA, 301 nt
Filed under: uncultured bacterium
Lineage: Bacteria
Description: partial 16S ribosomal RNA
Rfam family: Bacterial small subunit ribosomal RNA
Source: RNAcentral